AGGACAAAACCAACAACCGUGAUCAGUUUUACACAUUUAGCAUUCUAGGCAGUGCCAGUGACCACGCGAGCCAAUGCCGUCUGCAGGCUGCAAGCUGCCCUAAACCCCUAUGAUCUGAAGUUAGCGAAAAGCUAGGCAGGCAACUGGAACGCAGAAGUCACUGCUGAUGAAAUGCUCUGAAAAGCCUCGCGUCAGGAAAAUCGUUGUUACACACGAGGCAACAUGCGGACGCUGCAGUCAGAAAACCGCCAUGCUGAGAUCAAGCAGCGGCUGUCUGGUAUGGAGAGACACGCUAUUAAAAACAGAGUGUAAAUUUUAAAGGGGUAGUGACACCCAGGCUAGAGGCAGGGGACCCGUGACUGUCGCUGAGGCCUCAGUGUGGGAGACUAAAGCGGGAAUUAGCGGGUCAGCAUUAAUCCACAAGCUCAGAGAGGGGGCUGCUUUUGGGAUGAUUUUAAAAAGGAAAACAACUACAAAAACAAAAGAGAGACCACCAAAAGGCAGGGGAAGAGAGGAGAUGGGCAGAUAGUCUUAAGGAUGAAAGAGCAGAGUGUCAGAUUGCAGGCAGGGAGGUGGAUGCCUGCGGUGAAAAGCCACAUGCAGUGCGGUGCAGUGCCCGUUUUAUUCUGCACGAAUCGCACUGCAUGACACUCAAACGCUACACACACACAUGGCAUUAUUAUUCUACGUGCUCCGCUUCUCGUAAGAGCAGGAAAUAUUUCGGGAGGCGAACAUUAACCGGGAAAAUAAAUGAAAGUGGUGAAAAGGCCAGGACGGAAUUCCUUCGUGGAUCAGUGUGAGGCCUGCACGCUCUGAGCCAAAGCGCGGAGUUUCCACCGUUACUGGCUGAGUCCAGCUGGUCUGCAGCCAGCGAGUGGUGCUGGAGCCUUUGGAUCACACCAGCAUGCCGUGAGAUGGGGGGCCUUCAGCGUGGGGGGGGGGAGGACUGUGAAAUGGUAGGUCACGCUUACCGUCUAAUCCGUUAUGUGGCCCCCUACCCUACCCACCCCCACACAGUCCUUUUCUUUUUUUAUCCUGACGACUGAGAUGCUUAAUGAGCACCGGACCCGCACGCACACACGGAUGCACGCACACGCAGCACCAUUUGGAUCCUGUGCAUGCAUCUCCUCCAGCCUUUCCUGCAGCAGCCAGCAUAGCGCAUUUGCUGAAGGAUUUUUGUAGCUUUAUAGCCUUUUAACUAGAGCCCGACUGCGCUGUGCUGUACGUCUCUCUUGCACUGGACAGAGCGGUCUCUUAUCAACGCUAACACAGAAACUAGCAUUGCGACUGGUCCGACCUGCGGCCCAUAAAUCCACAGGUUUAAUGAACACCCCUGUAUUUGUCCAACCAACCGAUCUGGGGGUCAGAGCAGUGAAACAUACCCCCAUUUAAAACAUAUGGGCGCCCCUCCCCCUCAUUGCUGUCACGCAACCACUGCCCUGCCUGUUGCCCUGGGUCGGAUUUUACUGCAGCCAGUGGCCCACAUCGACCCCCCCAACGAAUAACUUGGAAAUAAUUGACUUGAAGCAGAGUUGAAAUGGGGGUAAGGCCUGAAGGACAUAAAGGGGGAGAAAAUUCCCGUCUGGGCGUCCCCCGUUGUAAUUCCUUCUUUGUGUAGGAAGGGAAAAUGUUCAAAGUGUCAUCACUGAUCAGCGACAGCGCUGUUGUAUCCUCCUGCUUAUCAGUCUUACCCAUAAAUAAAUGUUCUGCACACAUCAACACCCCACCCCUCCUGUGGAACAAAUCAAGGGACCUUUUUUUCUUUUUGCUGUUAAUUCUAUUAGACUAAUCAGAUUUAUCCCAGAUGCAUGUGCUUUCAGGAACAGGGAAUCUGAACUCCACAGGUCACAGGAGCAAUUUCUGUUUCACUGGGCCAAGGCUGACCCACCUGAGGAGUGGUGCCCCCCCCCAUCUGCCACUCUGGUCUGCAAUGCAAACAUCACACAAGUGCCCUCAAGGUACCAGUCAGAUGAAACCACUGACAAUGACCAGAAGUGGAGUAUUAAGAAGCGAGGUAGGUGAUUGAAACCUGCCCCCCUCCCUCAGUGUAAUGAUUCAAGUCACAUUCCCUGCGUUUUGGACUAUUUAAAGGAAACGGGGGUUCAUCAGUUGCAGACCCUGAUCUGCACUUAUAACAGCUAAACAUCGAUCCCUGGAGUCACAAAGCGCUUCUUGAAGGAGCUCUUCAAAAGGCAGGGGGGAAAUUUGGGGCAGCCAGAAAUGGAACACUGUUUACAUGAUGCUUGAGCAAGCAAUGUCCCCAAGAGGCCAGCAGGGGGGGCGACCAUAGACACGACAUCCAAAGUGGGUGGGGGUGGGCUUUUCACAAACGAGGCAUCAGCGAUACUUCAGAGGUCAAUGCCGGACUGCUUCCUGGCCAACAUCCAGACCACUACUGUACAAUUAUGGUUUCAUACAGCAGGUUGGAAGCAAUUACUAUUCGAAUUAUAUCUCAAAUUUAAUUAUUUCUCCUUACACCCUCCAGCCUCAGGGAAAUGUAUCUGCUCGGCGUGCUAAGCUUUAUUCUGGCGGAUUCCAGUAGCAAUGGAAUCAAGCUGAAUGUAGGGAACACAGAUCAAAGCCAAGGCUACAGAUGGCGUCUGAGAGCCGAGGCUGGCAGCAAGAUUGGCAUACCUGACAAGUCACCGCCAAAGUGUGGCAGAGCUGUGUCUUCCCCGUGCGAAACUCGCCGAACAUCUCUGUGAUGGAGCCCGUCUCGAUCCCACCUGAGUAGAACACGCACCUUAGCAGAGAUUCCUGGGCAGCCCUAAACGUGGUUGUGGAAAGGGGGAUUCUGGGAUGGAAGUCACGAUCAAGGAGUGACGAACCAGGCAGAGCGUCGAAGAGCUGACAGGAGAGCUGUGCGACGUGCAGACUCCCCUCUAAGCUUCCGGGGACCGAAUCCCUAUGCAACCUCUCUGAGAUGACAUCCUGACAUGGCAUGCCAAGCUGAGUUUUAUAUAUAUAAAAAUCCAGACUGCACGGAAGAACACAAAUUACAAGAUGUGUCAUCACUCAGAGAUCCACAUCAAUGCCUGCGGGAAAGGAUGACUUGUGCCAUUGUCCUGUCACACGCAAAAAUCUCAAUCCGACAUCAGCAGAUGGUUAACAUGAUGGCAAAUGAGAAAGCGAGGCGUUUCACAGAAAACAGCUGACCAGACGGGUUUGACUGUGAGACCUCCUGGCUUUCUGGGCGGCCAUGUGAGCAGAGGGAUCUGAUUCCCAUAUUCACCUUGCAGCAGCUUGUCCAGCUCUUUGGAGCCUGUGG
Molecule: non-coding RNA, 3268 nt
Organism: Paramormyrops kingsleyae
Lineage: Eukaryota; Metazoa; Chordata; Actinopteri; Osteoglossiformes; Mormyridae
Source: RefSeq, a predicted model, not a curated record